GUCCUAUUGUAUUAUUUAAUAGGUCUGGCCUGCCCAGUGAUAAUUUCAACGGCCGCGGUAUAUUGACCGUGCAAAGGUAGCAUAAUCAUUAGUCUUUUAAUAGGAGGCUGGAAUGAAAGGUUUAACGAGAAAUUAACUGUCUCAAUUGCAAUCUUGAAUUUAUCUUUUGAGUCAAAAGACUUAAAUUUAAUUGGUGGACGAGAAGACCCUAUAGAGCUUGACAAUUAUUUUUUUUCUAUUUACUUAGUCAAAUUAUUUAUUUAUAUUAAAAAUAUUGUUUUGUUGGGGUGACAAUAAAUAUAUAUUUAACUUUUAUCAUAGUGUUAACAUUAAUAUAGAUUUUUGGAUCCAAAAAUUU
RNAcentral lists this ribosomal RNA (358 nucleotides) under Ischnura heterosticta. RNAcentral describes it as "partial large subunit ribosomal RNA". The stretch from base 1 to 184 matches the Rfam family "Archaeal large subunit ribosomal RNA", at positions 1908 to 2143 of the family's 2987-position model. Lineage: Eukaryota; Metazoa; Arthropoda; Insecta; Odonata; Coenagrionidae. The record is from RNAcentral.